UACGGGGGGAGCAAGCGUUGUUCGGAUUUACUGGGCGUAAAGGGCGCGUAGGCGGCAUGACAAGUCACUUGUGAAAUCUCCGGGCUUAACUCGGAACGGUCAAGUGAUACUGUCGCGCUAGAGUGCGGAAGGGGCAAUCAGAAUUCUUGGUGUAGCGGUGAAAUGCGUAGAUAUCAGGAGGAACACCGGUGGCGAAGGCGGCUUGCUGGGCCAGUUCUGACGCUGAGGAGCGAAAGCGUGGGGAGCGAACAGG
RNAcentral lists this ribosomal RNA (253 nucleotides) under uncultured bacterium. RNAcentral's name for it is "partial 16S ribosomal RNA". It matches the Rfam family "Bacterial small subunit ribosomal RNA", at positions 524 to 776 of the family's 1533-position model. The record is from RNAcentral.